CCUGACGUCUGUGCUGGGCUCAGAAGAUGGCUGCGGAGCCUAGCACCCGGCAGUGGCUGCUCCGGCGGCGGCGGACUGGGAGCGCGGCGGGCGGGGGCUCCACCUUGCGCGUGGGGCGCUGAGCCGAGAGGCGUGGAGGCGGCUAGGGCGCGCGGGGGGUUCGGGGGCCCGCUCCGCGCUGCCUCCCCGCCACUCGCCGCACCAUGGGCAGCGCUGAGAACGCAGUCAAAGAGAAACUGCUGUGGAACGUGAAAAAGGAGGUAAAGCAAAUCAUGGAGGAAGCUGUCACCAGGAAAUUUGUGCAUGAAGACAGCAGCCACAUCAUUGCUCUGUGUGGCUCAGGUGCUAUUUUCCUUUGUGGCCCAGGUGCAGUAGAAGCUUGCCUCCUGCAUCAGCUGAAACGCCGUGCUGCUGGCUUCCUGCGGAGUGACAAGAUGGCAGCCCUAUUCACCAAGGUGGGGAAGACGUGCCCUGUGGCUGGGGAAAUAUGCCACAAGGUGCAGGAGUUGCAGCAACAAGUAGAGGGCAGGACACCCUCGGGAGCCAGCCAGGAGGCCCUGCGGAGACAGGGCUCAACCAGCGGGAAGGCCCCAGCCCUCAGCCCACAGGCCUUGAAACAUAUAUGGGUACGAACAGCACUCAUCGAGAAAGUUCUGGACAGGGUUGUACAGUACCUGGCGGAAAACUGCAGCAAGUUCUACGAGAAGGAAGCAUUACUGGCAGACCCUGUGUUUGGCCCAAUCCUGGCCUCUCUUCUAGUGGGACCCUGUGCCUUGGAAUACACAAAGCUCAAGACAGCUGAUCACUACUGGACUGACCCUUCUGCUGAUGAGCUGGUCCAGAGGCACCGUAUCCGGGGUCCCCCCAAUCGUCAGGACUCCCCUGCAAAGCGCCCAGCCCUGGGGAUCCAGAAGCGGCAUUCUAGUGGCAGUGCAUCAGAGGACAGGCUAGCGGCCUGCGCCCGGGAUUAUGUGGAAUCUCUGCACCAGAACUCCAGGAUGCGGCUGCUCUAUGGCAAGAACAACGUGCUGGUGCAGCCGAAGGAGGAUAUGGAGGCUGUCCCUGGCUACCUCUCCCUGCACCAGUCUGCGGAGAGCCUCACUCUGAAGUGGACCCCCAACCAACUCAUGAAUGGGACUCUGGGGGACUCUGAGCUAGAGAAGAGUGUUUACUGGGACUAUGCCCUAUUGGUGCCCUUCAGUCAGAUUGUCUGCAUCCACUGCCACCAGCAAAAGAGUGGCGGCACGCUUGUGCUGGUGAGCCAGGACGGAAUCCAGAGGCCACCACUGCAUUUCCCACAGGGAGGACACCUGCUGUCCUUUCUGUCCUGUCUGGAGAAUGGGCUGCUACCUCGAGGACAGCUUGAGCCCCCGCUGUGGACCCAGCAGGGGAAGGGCAAGGUAUUCCCUAAGCUACGGAAACGCAGCAGCAUGCAAUCCGUGGAUGUGGAGGAGCUGGGCAUGGGGCAGGCCACAGACUAUGUGUUCCGGAUCAUCUACCCUGGGCACAAGCAUGAGCACAUCACUAUUAACUACCACCACCUAGCGGCCAGCCGCGCGGCCUCGGUGGACGAUGAUGAGGAAGAGGAGGAUAAACUACACGCGAUGCUCUCAAUGAUCUGCUCGCGGAACCUCACAGCUCCCAAUCCGAUGAAAGAUGCUGGUGACAUGAUCGAGAUGCAGGGUUUUGGGCCUGGCCUGGCAGCCUGGCACCUGGAGCCCCUGUGCAGCCAGGGUUCCUCCUGCCUCUCCUGCUCCUCCCGCAGCUCCCCCUAUGCAACCCCCAGCCAUUGCAGCUGCAUCCCGGACCGGUUGCCCCUCAGGCUGCUGUGUGAAAGCAUGAAGAGGCAGAUUGUGUCCCGGGCCUUCUAUGGUUGUGAGUGUGUGGUGAGGUGGGGCUGCGAGGGGCUGGGCGUGGGGAGCACCUCAGUCACGGCCUCCUGGCUGCACACCACAGGGCUGGCCUACUGCCGCCACCUGUCCACAGUGCGGACCCACCUAUCAGCGUUGGUGCAUCACAACAUUAUUCCACCUGACCGGCCCCCGGGGGCUUCAGGAGGCCUCACCAAGGAUGUGUGGAGCAAGUAUCAGAAGGACAAAAAGAACUACAAGGAGUUGGAGCUGCUGAGGCAGGUUUACUAUGGAGGUGUGGAGCAUGAGAUCCGCAAGAACGUCUGGCCCUUUCUGCUUGGCCACUACAAGUUUGGCAUGAAUAAGAAGGAAAUGGAGCAGGUGGAUGCAGCGGUGGCAACAAGGUACCAGCAGGUGUUGGCAGAGUGGAAGGCCUGUGAGGUGGUGGUGAGGCAGCGGGAGCAGGAGGCUCACCCAUCCACGUUCACCAAGUUCUCCUCGGGCAGCAGCAUUGACAGCCACGUCCAGCACCUCAUUCACCGAGAUUCCACCAUCAGCAAUGAUGUGUUUAUCUCUGUGGAUGAUCUGGAGACCCCAGGGCCCCAGGCCUCUGAAGAUGCCAGACCAAAGCCUGAGCAAGAACCAGGAGUUGGGACUCCAGACAAUGCCAUGGUGGAGCAGCAGCAGUCAGUGGAGUUUGACUCUCCAGACUCAGGGCUGCCAUCCUCCCGAAAUUACUCUGUGGCCUCAGGCAUCCAGUCCAGCCUAGAUGAGGGCCAGAGUGUGGGCUUUGAGGAGGAUGGCGGUGGAGAGGAAGGCUCUGGCGGGCUGACCUCUGCAGCCCACAGUUUUUCUGAGCCCCGGGAUCCCAGCCAGGAGAAGGCUUCACAAGCCAGCGAGCUAGAAGCAGGCGGGGAGCUGGCAGCUGUGUGUGCUGCAUCCUACACUGUACGUGGAUGUUCCCCAACCACUCUUUCCAGAGGCCCUCCUGACAUGCUAACACUUGGGGACAGGCUCCAGGGUAGUGCUGUCUCCAUCUCUCAGCAUCCCCAGAGCACUAUAGAAUUACUGGACACCGUGGCCUUAAAUCUGCACCGCAUAGACAAGGAUGUGCAAAGAUGUGACCGAAACUACUGGUACUUCUCACUGCCCAAUCUUGAGAGGCUCAGAGACAUCAUGUGCAGGGGCCAUCUCUCCAGGGAGGAAAGGAUGGUGCACAGCCUCAGUGACUGUCCCUGGCGUUUCAGCUACGUGUGGGAGCACUUGGACAUGGGCUACGUGCAAGGCAUGUGUGAUCUGCUGGCACCUCUCUUGGUCAUCCUUGACAAUGAUCAGCUGGCCUACAGCUGCUUUAGCCACCUCAUGAAAAGGAUGAGCCAGAACUUCCCCAAUGGGGGCGCCAUGGACACCCACUUUGCCAACAUGCGGUCCCUCAUCCAGAUCCUGGACUCAGAGCUGUUUGAGCUGAUGCAUCAGAAUGGAGACUACACCCACUUCUAUUUCUGUUACCGCUGGUUCCUGCUGGAUUUUAAGAGAGAGCUGCUGUAUGAGGAUGUAUUUGCUGUGUGGGAGGUGAUCUGGGCAGCCAGGUGUAUCUCAUCGGAGCACUUUGUCCUGUUCAUUGCCCUGGCCCUGGUGGAGGCCUACCGAGAGAUUAUCCGAGACAACAACAUGGACUUCACUGAUAUCAUCAAGUUCUUCAAUGAGCGGGCUGAGCAUCAUGAUGCCCAGGAGAUCCUGCGGAUUGCCCGGGACCUGGUCCACAAGGUGCAGAUGCUCAUAGAGAACAAGUGAGCACUGUGGCUGGGAGCAGCAGCACGGAGAGAAAGCCUGGGCACCAGGCCCCUGGGCUCUAGCAGGGCAGCCCAGACUGCCCCACCCCCAGAUGACCCUGCCUGUCCAGUUGUGUUCCUAACAAACGACUGGGGGAAAGGGCAGGGACAACAGGACACCAUGAGCAGGAGCGGCCCACUGAACCUCAAAUCCCAUCCCAUCCCAGCCAGCCCACACAGACCAGGGUACAGCAACCAGGACAAGGGACAACAGGACACCCAACAGAGGCUGCUAGAGAUCAUGCCUGCCUCCUGCUCCAUGGCUCUCCCCAAUGAGGCCCAGCACCCUAGGCACGGAGGGCUUCCAGGCAGGUGCACAGGUCCAAGCUAGUCCUGAUCCAAGUAUGGUGUGUGUGUGGGGGUCUUCCGCACCACACACACACACACACCUUGACUUGGUCCUGAGGCUUCACCUCCUCAGAGGAAGAGACUGCCCCAUCUCUCCUCACAGCCUUUCUACCUUCCAGCCUCAUGUCCAAGGCCUCCAAUGCCAUUCACUCUGUUCCACUCAGUCACCAAUGUCCUGUGCUACCCUCCUUGAAACCUAUUCUCCAAAGAACCUACGCGAUCCUGCACUUCUCGCCACCUAAUCAUUCACCUGUCCCUUCGAAGCUGCUGGCUCUGCACCCCCCUCCAACAUCCUGGCUACUUCCCAUGGCACCUACCUGCACCUGCACUGCCUCUGAGAUACAAUGGUAACACACCGCUUCCUGCCCAGCACCUUCCCACAGACUCCCCAGCAUGAAUCCCCAACCGUGGAAUAUGGCCACUGUUCAGUAAGAAAUGAGCUCGACAGCACCCACUGACUCUAAGCACCCCUGGAGAGACUUCUGUUCUCAUCCACAGGUUUCAGGUCAGCCCAUCCCACCACACCAAUGUUGCCCACUUCCCCAAAACAGAGGGGUCCCUAAUCCACGGUGUCCUCUUCUUGACUUCAACAACCUUCCACCCGUCAGGUGCAAACCCCUCAGGUAGGCAGGUGCCAAGUGCUGGGGCUCUCACACUGGGGGAUCACUCUAGUUUCCUGACAGGAUCAGCAGCAGCUCCAGAAGGCCAGCUCUGGUCUCGCCUCUCAGUUCCCCUCCACACAAAAGUCCUGACUGAUAGAUACUUCAUGAGCCCAACUCUUCUCCAUCUCACAGGCCUCCCUGCAGGCAGCUCUCCUCACCUAGGCAAGUUGUGACUGCUGUGUCCACCAGACAGGGCAGCCGCUCCCUCAACCUGCUCCUGAGCGCCCAGCUUCCAAGCCUGCCAGUCGAGGAGUCCACAGGCUCUUCUCAAUCCAAACUCUGAUUUGUUUUGGUUUUUCCUUGGGAAUCCUGACUGCCUGGAUGCUCACACUCAGAUCCUGCCUCCUUCAUCCCUAGGUCUUUCAUGCUCCUGCUCCAAGACCACACCUGGUGGCCUCCAUGGUCUGUCCUCAGCCUGCUGCCUCAGAGCACUUCUUAGCACCUAUACCACACAUUUGGGCAUGACUCAGACGGGGCUUAGUCAGACACAGGCUCUCCUACAAACCACUACACCGUCUUGUGUGUGUUCUGUCUGUCCAGCUCAAUACACACUCUUUGUUCACUCUGCAA
This is a non-coding RNA of Heterocephalus glaber (naked mole-rat), 5262 nucleotides long. NCBI's taxonomy places the organism in Eukaryota, Metazoa, Chordata, Mammalia, Rodentia, Bathyergidae. The record is from RefSeq and is a predicted model, not a curated record.